AUUGAACGCUGGCGGCAUGCCUAACACAUGCAAGUCGAACGCCCUCUUUGAGGGAGUGGCAGACGGGUGAGUAACACGUGGGAACCUACCCAGUAGUACGGAACAACACAGAGAAAUUUGUGCUAAUACCGUAUACGCCCUACGGGGGAAAGAUUUAUCGCUAUUGGAUGGGCCCGCGCUGGAUUAGCUAGUUGGUGAGGUAAAAGCUCACCAAGGCGACGAUCCAUAGCUGGUCUGAGAGGAUGAUCAGCCACACUGGGACUGAGACACGGCCCAGACUCCUACGGGAGGCAGCAGUGGGGAAUAUUGGACAAUGGGCGCAAGCCUGAUCCAGCCAUGCCGCGUGAGUGAUGACGGCCCUAGGGUUGUAAAGCUCUUUCAACGGUGAAGAUAAUGACGGUAGCCGUAGAAGAAGCCCCGGCUAACUUCGUG
RNAcentral lists this ribosomal RNA (432 nucleotides) under uncultured bacterium. RNAcentral describes it as "bacterial SSU rRNA". It matches the Rfam family "Bacterial small subunit ribosomal RNA", at positions 30 to 507 of the family's 1533-position model. The record is from RNAcentral.